This 20-nucleotide microRNA is filed under the name Homo sapiens (human). RNAcentral describes it as "hsa-miR-6799-5p". The record is from miRBase by way of RNAcentral. Lineage: Eukaryota; Metazoa; Chordata; Mammalia; Primates; Hominidae.
GGGGAGGUGUGCAGGGCUGG